UCUCCCUACGGGAGGCAGCAGUCGGGAAUAUUGCACAAUGGAGGAAACUCUGAUGCAGUGACGCCGCGUGCAGGAAGAAGGUUUUCGGAUUGUAAACUGCUUUAGACAGGGAAGAAACAAGACAGUACCUGUAGAAUAAGCUCCGGCUAACUACGUGCCAGCAGCCGCGGUAAUACGGAGGAUGCGAGCGUUAUCCGGAUUUAUUGGGUUUAAAGGGUGCGUAGGCGGAUUUUUAAGUCAGCGGUAAAAUGUCCGGGCUCAACCCGGGCCGGCCGUUGAAACUGGGGAUCUUGAGUGGGCGAGAA
RNAcentral lists this ribosomal RNA (305 nucleotides) under uncultured bacterium. Its description in RNAcentral is "bacterial SSU rRNA". It matches the Rfam family "Bacterial small subunit ribosomal RNA", at positions 335 to 656 of the family's 1533-position model. The record is from RNAcentral.